This 72-nucleotide transfer RNA is filed under the name Alligator mississippiensis (American alligator). It matches the Rfam family "tRNA". From Rfam's summary of the family: Transfer RNA (tRNA) molecules are approximately 80 nucleotides in length. Their secondary structure includes four short double-helical elements and three loops (D, anti-codon, and T loops). Further hydrogen bonds mediate the characteristic L-shaped molecular structure. tRNAs have two regions of fundamental functional importance: the anti-codon, which is responsible for specific mRNA codon recognition, and the 3' end, to which the tRNAs corresponding amino acid is attached (by aminoacyl-tRNA synthetases). tRNAs cope with the degeneracy of the genetic code in two manners: having more than one tRNA (with a specific anti-codon) for a particular amino acid; and 'wobble' base-pairing, i.e. permitting non-standard base-pairing at the 3rd anti-codon position. The record is from Rfam by way of RNAcentral. Lineage: Eukaryota; Metazoa; Chordata; Crocodylia; Alligatoridae.
GGGGCAGCGGCACAAGAAGAACGUGUCUGACUUUGGAUCCGAAGACUGUAGGUUUGACUCCUACCUGACUCA